UACAGAGGUCCCAAGCGUUGUUCGGAUUCACUGGGCGUAAAGGGUGCGUAGGUGGUGGGGUAAGUCGGAUGUGAAAUCUCCGGGCUCAACCCGGAAAUGGCAUUGGAAACUACCUUGCUGGAGGAUUUGAGGGGGGAUUGGAAUACUUGGUGUAGCAGUGAAAUGCGUAGAUAUCAAGUGGAACACCAGUGGCGAAGGCGAAUCCCUGGAAAAUACCUGACACUGAGGCACGAAAGCGUGGGGAGCAAACAGG
This 253-nucleotide ribosomal RNA is filed under the name uncultured bacterium. RNAcentral's name for it is "partial 16S ribosomal RNA". It matches the Rfam family "Bacterial small subunit ribosomal RNA", at positions 524 to 776 of the family's 1533-position model. The record is from RNAcentral.